This 300-nucleotide ribosomal RNA is filed under the name uncultured Sulfurovum sp. Its description in RNAcentral is "partial 16S ribosomal RNA". The stretch from base 60 to 300 matches the Rfam family "Bacterial small subunit ribosomal RNA", at positions 554 to 795 of the family's 1533-position model. Lineage: Bacteria; Pseudomonadati; Campylobacterota; Epsilonproteobacteria; Campylobacterales; Sulfurovaceae. The record is from RNAcentral.
GCGUGGUCUGUUGAGGGUGCUGGAGUAAUGACGAGGUUCCAAUCUGUAUCCUGAAUCCGUUGGUGUUAAGGUGUCGGAGUGUGGUUUAUAAGUCAGUGUGUAAAGCCCAUGGCGCAUCGAGUGAUGUUCCAGUGAUACUGUAAGACUGUAAUGCUUAUGAAGUAACUAGAAUAUGUAGUGUAGCGGUGAAAUGCUUAGAGAUUACAUGGAAUACCAAUUGCGAAGGCAGGUUACUACUAAGGGAUUGACGCUGAUGGACGAAAGCGUGGGGAGCGAACAGGAUUAGAUACCCUGGUAGUC